GGAAGCUGUUGCCAUUCUUCAGGGAAUUUCUUAAGAAAGAAAGAAAUACAUUGCAUGAAGCCAUUGGAGGAAGGAUCGAGCCCGUUUGUUCUGACUGUUCUGACUGCUUGCCCAAGAUUGCUGGUUACUCUGUAUGUACAGCUACUAUAAAUGAUGAGGGAAAAGACUCCAGCUUCUAACAGAUAUAGAUCCCUUAUGCACCGCUUUAGAUUUUUAUAGCCUUUUAUAGCCCUAAUGCUGCAUCAGCCAGCCCUGCCUGGGCUCCAGCCAGAUGUCAAGUAGGUUCCAUGUAUCAACAGCCUCUCCCGGGCACUACUUUAUGACUCUUCUCUCAGACCACGGAACUUCCUAGUUGACAGAAACAAGAAUGUGACUGGAACCCAGCAUGUGUAACCUGAAAGUACAGGGAAGUGGAUGUGGUGUUGCUAAAAAGUUUGAUUGGUGGGAUGGGAGCCAGUGUAUAAAUGUUUUCCCUUUCUCCCUCAAGUGCUUGGACCUGUGUUAUCUCAGAAAAUCCUGUGGCCAACUCAGUAACACAUCCCUGCUUUACUCUCUUCUCUCUUAUUCCUGACCCCUUGAACUGCUCCAGGACUCCAGUAAAAUAUUCUUAACAUGAGUCUUUGUCUCAAGUUUAUUUUCUGAGAAAGGAAGAAGGCUAAGAAAUUAUUUUCAGUUUAGUACCAAGGAAAUGAGUGAAAGUUAAAUAAAUUGUAUGUCGCGAUUGUAUUACCAUUGAUUUUCAGGUUUAAAGUAGUUUAGAAAGCCCUUGAAUACAAAAAACAAACAAAUAAAAAACCCAGAGAUGCCUAAUAGUGCGAAGUCUGCUCUGGGCAACACAGCAGUAUAUUUGCUUGGCAAAAGAAAACAUAUAAUCUACAGGACAAUAUAUUAGAGCAGCAAGUGAGAGGAGAACUAUGUAACCUAUAAGUAAAGAUUAAAAUAAUGGGAACAUAGAUGUAAAUACAGUGUAUGUAAGGCAAAAAAGUAAAAUUGACAACAUAAAAGAAAAGUAAUAGUGAGAAAUAUAAGGAUAUGAAAGUUUCACUUUAUAGGAAGCAAUAUAUGUUUCUGAAGAGGAGCAUAAAAGAGUUCCAACUCAGUGGUGUAGUUGAGGAGAAUCUUCUCUGGAAGAAAGAAAACUUAAAUGCAUGAAGGAUCAGUUGUUAGGAGAAAAAGUGUCAAUCUACAUAGUAUGAAUAAAAAAACUUAUAAUGUAUUAUUUGCACAACUAACACUAAUGCCUAAAUGUGUACAAAAUAAUAAAGGUGAUAUGGGUAAUAUACAGUGGCAGAAAAUAUUUUAAAAAUUAAAAUUUUUGAAAUAGAUCAGUUGUUACAGCCUAUGCUUUCAAUACAACAAAAAUAAAAUUUUAGAAGUGUCAGAAAAAGAUAAACUCUACAGGCUUUGGAGAGAGACAUAUCCUAAUUUAAAUUCCAGUUUCACCAAUUACCCGCCGUGUUCAUGUGUAACGUGAAUAAGCAUUAAGAUUUCUGUGCUUCAGUUUCAUUCAACUGCGAAAGAUUGGUAUGAAAAAAUGAUAAAAUAAGCAUGUAAAGAGCUUACUAUACACCAAGUUGCCCAUGGUAAUAACCCCAAAAAAGGUUGUUUUAAUAACAUGUCUUCUGUUGCUAAGAGGCUUCAAUGAGGUAGAAAAAAGAGCCAGUCUCUAACUUGACUUGGUUUCAAAUGCCGAUUCUGACUUUUAUUAGCCAUAAUGACUACAUUAACUUCUGUGGAAAACAUGCAAUAACAUUGGACUCAGAUCUAACUGUGUGGCCAUGAACAAAUAUGAUUUUCUGACCUUCAACUUGAGAUAAAGAUUAAAUGUGAUAAUUUGUAUGAAUGUAUGUUCACGCAUUAUUUUUGUGUAAUAACCAGUUUAUUUCUUUCACACAUUAAAGUUUCAUAGGUUUAUUUUUCAUUUUAAUAGAGACUUUAAAAAGGAUUUCUGGAGUGGGAGUAAAAAUCAGAAUAAUGAGCCUGACUGAUUCUACUAAUGUUGCUUUAGAUGUCAAAACUUGGAUUUUCUAUUUCUUUUUAUCAAUGAGGAAAAGAUGUGAAAAGUCUCUACUGAAAAUCACAGAGAUGGAAGAAAACUCACUUAUUUUAAACUAAUUAAUUGUGAUUAACAAAUAUAAAUAAAAGCUAAGGAUUGUCACCUGGUUUUCAGUGUGUGAAAUAGGAGUGCACUGUGAAAACUUUGAAAUUUAUCGUUUGGGAACAUAUUUUUGAAGGAAACAUUAUAUGUACAAGCAAAAUUUUGCAAAAUUGUAUCUUAUGCUUAACAAUCUUACUAUAUAAAUAAGUAAUUGAAACAAGGUGGGCGGAUCACAAGGUCAGGAGUUCAAGACCAGCCUGGACAACAUAGUGAAACCCCAUCUCUACUAAAAAUACAAAAAAAUUGGCCAGGCGUGGUGGCGCAUGCCUGUAAUCCCAGCUACUUGGGAGGCUGAGGCAGGAGAAUCACUUGAACCUGGAAGGCAGAGGUUGUGGUGAGCCAAGAUCUCGCCAUUGCACUCCAGCCUGUGAGACAGUGUGAGACUCCGUCUCAAAAAAAAAAAAAAUUACUUUAUUCAAUUUCAUUUGUAUGAACUAUUAAAGAUUUUUGUCAGAUUCUUUAAUUUUAUGUUAUUUAUUCAUAUUUUGAAAGUAGAAGACUUACUGUGUUGCUCACAGAGGCUGUUUAGAUUUUUAAUUUCACCCAGGCCACAAAUCAAACUACUGACCUCUUAAUUCUCAGCAAAAAAUAAAUAAAUUUUUAUUUUUGAAAAGCUGGCAGUAUUUAAAUAUGUUUUCUAUCAAUUUUACAAUUUUUCACCUCAAUAUAUCUAAAUCAAUGUAUUCUCUGUUGCUUGUAUUUUUUAAAAGAAAUAAUUUUAUUCUCAUUUUUCUGACCAGAAAAGGAAGGAAACAAAAUCAUCAAAGGUUGCAUUAUUUUAUCACCCUGAGUAAAUGGGACUUCAUGCCAUUACAGGAUUCUGGAAGAAACAGAGCUAGCUCAUGCUGUGGGAGGGAGGGCUAGGGUCCUUACCCAUUAACCCCAGCCUGUCAUUGGUAGAGCACUGUUCCCGGGUGGCAUUAAUUCCCUAGCAGUCCCAGCCUCCUGGGAACAUGGGAAAAGUGGUCCCCAGUGGCCCCUGAACACUUUUAGGCAAACAGAUGCAGAGCUGAGAGUUGAAUAUCAGGCUAGCAUGCAUAAAAAAUGGCUAAAGUUAAGAAGAAAGAAGCAGGAAACUGACACAUGAUAUAUAAUAUCACAUAUAUAUUAAUAUAUGUGCGUACAUGUGUAUAUGUGUAUAUAUACAUAUGCACAUACAUAUAUAUAUUUCUCAUUAAAAAAAGUUAAAAAUACAAAGAAGGAAAAUAAAAAUCAACACCAUUUUACUGACUUCAGUUUGGUAAAAUGAAUUUUAAGGCAUUUAAGGUUUUAAAAAAGUUGUAAAUAUUGUGAAAAAAAUGUUAUAUAACUAAUUUUAAGCAUUGCUUUCCAACCUGCUUUUGUUGCUAGGUGUGUGUAGUGUUUUAUAAUUUUUAUUUAGGUCAAGUUGGUCAAUAGUGUUGCUCAGGUCUUCUAUAUACUUACCUGUUUUUUUCUGUUCAUUCUAUUAAUUAAUAAAAUAAAUUUAAAAUUUUUUACA
Molecule: long non-coding RNA, 3638 nt
Filed under: Homo sapiens (human)
Lineage: Eukaryota; Metazoa; Chordata; Mammalia; Primates; Hominidae
Description: HSALNT0090727
Source: RNAcentral